This is a non-coding RNA of Nicotiana tabacum (common tobacco), 1734 nucleotides long. Lineage: Eukaryota; Viridiplantae; Streptophyta; Magnoliopsida; Solanales; Solanaceae. The record is from RefSeq and is a predicted model, not a curated record.
GAAGCCUUUGGUCUCCCUCUUGUCUUUGCUUCUAUCAUACCUCUCUCUCAUCUUGUUAAACCUAGAAAAUAUUACCAUCUACGAACUUAGCGGAAGGAAGAUCCAUUCCGAUAAGGGACAACCAUUUCGGCUAAUAUAAGGGAAUCUCAUAUGUAGGUUAUCGAUAUAUUUCCCGUGUUCGAUGUUGUUCGCUGUUCGCUAUUGUUUCGCUGGAAAAUUGGUUCGUUGCUUCUUCUGUUUUCUUUCAUUGAUUUGAUAGAUAUGAGUCAAGAAAGACCUUUAAAGCCCAAAAGAAAGACAAGCGCAACAUACACAAAACCUGGAACAAUGGCAUCUUUGGCAAACCAAAUAAGGACUUCGUUUAGCCAAAAAUAUGUUGUUCCCGCUAGACAAUCAAACAAAGAGCGGCCUAAUAUUAUUGUAGAGAAUCUGCCAAGAGCAGUAGCCCAUGCACAAACUAGAUCAACCACUUCUGCAAAAUAUGUUGCUCCUGCUAGACAAUCAAACAAAGAGCGUCUGAAUAUCAUCGAAGAGAAUCUGAUAGUGCCACAAUAUUCAGAAGUAACAACCCAUGUACAAACAAGAUCAACCACUCCUACAACACAAGUAAUAGAGGAACAAGUUCAGUUGGAUUCUACAACUCCUAUUGAAGAUGAACAAUGUGAAGAACAAGUUGAAGGCCCUUCUAAUCAAACAAGAAAAAGAGGAAAAACAAAGAUGAAAAGUGUACAUGGACGACAUGAGCGUAAAUUAAUUUUACUUAACAACUUAAAUCAACCCGUCGGUCCUAGUGACGCAGUUGUGACAGAGUUUGGAAGCUUCCUCGGCACAUUGGCAAGGAAUGCGACUCUAUGUCCUCUUGAUAUUUUGGAUUGGAGGAAGAUGUACACAAAAGAGGAUGUAUGAGAAUAUACCAAGGUCUGAACUUCUUAAGUUUUAAUUUUUGAUUGAAAAUCUUUCAUAUUUUCUGCACUAACAGAUUUGACACCAAUUGUAGGAUAAAUAUGAUAUUCCUGAAGCUGCAAAAAAAUAUACUUUGGAAUCAGUUCAAGCUGCCUGGAGAAAGCAUAAGAGUAGAUUGAAAAAAGAUCACUUUGACCCCUAUAGAAGUGAUGAAACUCGAAUGGAACAUAUCCCUAAAGAUGUUCCAGUUUCUCAGUUUAAGGAACUCCUUAGGUAUUGGAACUCUGAGAAACUCUAGAGAAUGUCUAAAACUAACAUUGAGAAUCGGAAAAAGUUGAAGAAUCCUCACACUGCUGGAAAAAGAAGUUUUGCUUUAGUUCGCUCUAAGUUGGAAAAAGACAAGGAAACUUCGGAUCCUUUAUCAGCAAAGGAAGUCUUUGUUGCUACAAGAAAAAGAAAAGUUGGGCGAUCAUACAAGUCCUCGGAUAAAGAUACAACUAGUAAAAUUGCUGAAAUGGAGGAAGUUGAAGCACAACAAAACGAAAAUGGCAAUGAGUCCGUAGAGGCAUUUGCAUCUGUCAUGGGACCUGAACAUUCGGGACGUCUGAGAUUGUAUGGACGAGGGGUUACAAGAACUUCUUUAAGAGGGAAAGUAAGAUAUUUUGAACCAUCUUCAAAUACUUCAAAUUCUAUACAAAAAUUGGAGGAGAAGAUACAAAGAAUGGAGGAAAAAAUUGAGUAACAAAAGGCAACUAUCCGUCAAGAAGUUGUUGUAGAUGUCCUUGCACGUCUUCAGCGUUCAGGAAUUGAUAUUGAUGCUAACAUUAUUCU